This 3082-nucleotide long non-coding RNA is filed under the name Chrysolophus pictus (golden pheasant). RNAcentral's name for it is "lncRNA (ENSCPIG00010014309.1)". Lineage: Eukaryota; Metazoa; Chordata; Aves; Galliformes; Phasianidae. The record is from RNAcentral.
AUGUCCCCAGUGCCACCAAUGGCAGCCAUGACAUCAAUGUCCCCAGUGGCACCAAUGUCCCCAGUGUCCCCAGUGCCACCAAUGUCCCCAGUGCCACCAAUGGCAGCCAUGACAUCAAUGGCCCUGAUGGCACCAGUGGCACCAAUGGAACUGAUGGUCUCAGUGGCACCGAUGUCCCCGGUGUCCCCAAUGGCACCGAUGUCCCCAGUGUCCCCAGUGAUCCCAAUGCCCCCAAUGGCACCAACAUCCCCAGUGUCCCCAAUGUCACCAAUGUCCCCAGUGUCACUGGAGGCAUCAAUUUCACCCAUGACACCAAUGUCACCAAUGGCCCCAAUGACACCAGUGGUCCCAGUGUCCCCAGUGUCCCCAGUGCCACCAAUGGCAGCCAUGACAUCAAUGUCCCCAGUGUCACCAAUGUCCCCAGUGUCCCCAGUGAUCCCAGUGUCCCCAGUGCCACCAAUGGCAGCCAUGACAUCAAUGUCCCCAGUGUCCCCCAUGACACCAAUGUCCCCANNNNNNNNNNNNNNNNNNNNNNNNNNNNNNNNNNNNNNNNNNNNNNNNNNNNNNNNNNNNNNNNNNNNNNNNNNNNNUGUCCCCAGUGAUCCCAGUGUCCCCAGUGACACCAAUGGCACCAGUGUCCUCAGUGUCCCCAGUGAUCCCAGUGUCCCCAAUGUCACCAAUGUCCCCAGUGUCACUGGAGGCAUCAAUUUCACCCAUGACACCAAUGUCACCAAUGGCCCCAAUGACACCAGUGGUCCCAGUGUCCCCAGUGUCACCAAUGUCCCCAGUGUCCCCAGUGCCACCAAUGGCAGCCAUGACAUCAAUGUCCCCAGUGUCCCCAGUGACACCAAUGUCCCCAGUGAUCCCAGUGUCCCCAGUGACACCAAUGGCACCAGUGUCCUCAGUGUCCCCAGUGAUCCCAGUGUCCCCAAUGUCACCAAUGUCCCCAGUGUCACUGGAGGCAUCAAUUUCACUCAUGACACCAAUGUCACCAAUGGCCCCAAUGACACCAGUGAUCCCAGUGUCCCCAGUGUCACCAAUGUCCCCAAUGUCCCCAGUGAUCUCAGUGGCCCUAAUGGCACCGAUGGCACUGAUGGCACCAAUGACACCACUGACACCAAUGUCCCCAGUGUCCCCAGUGUCCCCAGUGACACCAAUGCCACUGGUGGCAUCAAUUACACCAAUGUCCCCAAUGGCCCCAAUGUCACCAAUGUCACCAAUGUUACCAAUGUCCCCAGUGUCACCAAUGGCUCCUCUGUCACCAAUCUCCCCAGUGUCACCGAAGUCCCCAAUGUCCCCAGUGGCCCCAAUGGCCCCAAUGUCCCCAGUGUCCCCAGUGACCCCAGUGACCCCAGUGACAAUAAAGGCACUGAUGGCACCAAUGGCUCCAGUGUCCCCAAUGUCCCCAAUGGCCCCAAUGUCACCAAUGGCUCCUCUGUCACCAAUCUCCGCAGUGUCACCAAAGUCCCCAAUGUCCCCAGUGACACCAAUGCUACUGGUGGCAUCAGUGACACCAAUCUCCCCGUUGUGACCAAUGUCCCCAGUGUCCCCAUGUCCCCAGUGUCACCAGUGGCUCCACUGUCACCAAUCUCCCCAGUGUCACCAAUGGCCCCAGUGUCACCAUUGUCCCCAGUGACACCAAUGUCCCCAAAGUCACCAAUGUCCCCAGUGGCACCAAUGUCCCCAAUGUCACCAAAUGUCCCGAUUGCACCAGAGUCACCAGUGACCCCAAUGGCACCAAUGUCACCAAUGUCAUCAAUGUCCCGAUGGCACCAAAGUCAUCAGUGUCACCAAUGUCACCAAUGUCCCAAUGGCCCCAAUGUCACCAAAGUCACCACUGUCACCAAAGUCCCCAAUGUCACCAAUGUCACCAAUGUCACCAAAUGUCCCGAUCGCAUCAGAGUCACCAGUGACCCUAAUGGCACCAAAGUCACCAAAGUCACCAAUGUCCCAAUGACCCCAAUGUCACCAAAGUCACCAAUGUCACCAAAUGUCCCGAUGACACCAAUGUCACCAAUGUCCCAAUGUCACCAAUGCCACCAAUGUCCCCAAAGUCACCAAUGUCACCAAAUGUCCCGAUGACCCCAAUGUCCCCAAAGUCACCAAUGUCACCAAAUGUCCCGAUGGCAUCAAUGUCACCAGUGCCACCAAUGCCACCCAUGCCACCAACGCCCCACGGACGCCGACGCCAGCGGUGCGACUCACCUCGCUUGGGAAACGUCAGAGCAGAGCUGGCUGCAACGGACGAAGAGGGGCUGGGGUCCUGAAUGAGCGCUUGGCCUCGGUUCUGUGGGGCAGAGGAGCCGAUCUAUGGGGCAGAGCUCCGUUCUAUGGGGCAGAGGAGCCGAUCUAUGGGGCAGAACUCCGUUCUAUGGGGCAAUGGGGCCGAUCUAUGGGGUAGAACUUCAUUCUAUGGGGCAGAGGGGCCGAUCUAUAGGGCAGAGCAUCAUUCUAUGGGGCAAUGGGGCCGAUCUAUGGGGUAGAACUUCAUUCUAUGGGGCAGAGGGGCCGAUCUAUAGGGCAGAGCAUCAUUCUAUGGGGCAAUGGGGCCGAUCUAUGGGGUAGAACUUCAUUCUAUGGGGCAAUGGGGCCGAUCUAUGGGGUAGAACUCCAUUCUAUGGGGCAAUGGGGCCAAUCUAUGGGGCAGAGCUCCAUUCUACGGGGCAGAGGAGCCGAUCUAUAGGGCAGAGCUCCAUUCUAUGGGGCAGAGGAGCCGAUCUAUGGGGCAGAACUCCGUUCUAUGGGGCAAUGGGGCCGAUCUAUGGGGUAGAACUUCAUUCUAUGGGGCAAUGGGGCCGAUCUAUGGGGUAGAACUUCAUUCUAUGGGGCAAUGGGGCCGAUCUGUGGGGCAGACCUCCAUUCUAUGGGGCAAUGGGGCCGAUCUAUGGGGUAGAGCUCCGUUCUAUGGGGCAGAGGAGCCAAUCUAUGGGGUAGAAUUCCAUUCUAUGGGGCAGAAAGGCCAAUCUAUGGGGUAGAGCUCUGUUCUAUGAGGCAGAGUAGCUGAUCUAUGGGGUAGAACUCCAUUCUAUGGGGCAGCAGGGCCAAUCUAUGGGGCAGAGAUCCAAUGUAUGGGGCAGCGGGG